This 253-nucleotide ribosomal RNA is filed under the name uncultured bacterium. Its description in RNAcentral is "partial 16S ribosomal RNA". It matches the Rfam family "Bacterial small subunit ribosomal RNA", at positions 524 to 776 of the family's 1533-position model. The record is from RNAcentral.
UACGUAGGGGCCUAGCGUUGUCCGGAAUUAUUGGGCGUAAAGAGUUCGUAGGUGGUUCGUUAAGUCUGGUGUAAAAGACUGGGGCUCAACCCUGGGAUCGCACUGGAUACUGGCGGACUUGAGUGUGGUAGAGGCAAGUGGAAUUCCCAGUGUAGCGGUGAAAUGCGUAGAUAUUGGGAAGAACACCGGUGGCGCAAGCGACUUGCUGGGCCAUAACUGACACUGAGGAACGAAAGCUAGGGGAGCGAAUGGG